GCAUCAAUGGGGUAGUGGUAACCUGGGUCGUUGCCAGUUGAGAUUCUUCUGAACGAUUCGACCCGCCGGGGGUUCGAUUCCCCCUUGAUGCA
Termitomyces sp. Mi166#008 is the source of this 92-nucleotide non-coding RNA. The record is from the annotation of a GenBank genome assembly. Lineage: Eukaryota; Fungi; Basidiomycota; Agaricomycetes; Agaricales; Lyophyllaceae.